RNAcentral lists this long non-coding RNA (558 nucleotides) under Triticum aestivum (bread wheat). RNAcentral's name for it is "long non-coding RNA (TAES_LNC009239)". The record is from RNAcentral. Lineage: Eukaryota; Viridiplantae; Streptophyta; Magnoliopsida; Poales; Poaceae.
CAAUGCCUUUCUUAAUUGAAUGAAGUGAUAUACAUACUAAAUGGGAAAGCAAGACAUACUAGGACAAGCAAACUUGCAGCAUCCACAACGUCCUUACCGACCCUCCAUGCUGUUUUAACAGUUGUAGUGAUAUAAAAUGAUUGUCAAAAGACAGCAGCACACCACAGCCAGAUAAUUGAAUUUCCUCAUCCUGAAAACAAGGCCACACAACAUUAAAAAGAGCAGGAGUAGGCCAUGGAAAUAAAACAAGACAAACAUGAGUUGAGGAUGCAAGUGCAUAUCAUGGAUGGCACACUGAGCACAUAUACAAAGUCAGAAUUUCAUGAAGGAAGCAGACAGGGGGGAAAAUUAAGUGGUGAUACUACAUCCCGAAACAAACAACGCUCCAUCUGUGAUGGGAAACUAGAUACAUCCCGCAACUAGAUAAACGAACAAGAAAACAAACAGUAGCGCCAUCAUUAUGCAAGGAUGGACUGUAGCAGACUAACCAGACAUAGCCAUCACACAAUGGCCACGACAAGCUCAGAGCAACCAACGGAGGCAAGGAGGGGAGCUCAC